CAGGCUUAACACAUGCAAGUCGAGGGGCAGCAUGGUCUUAGCUUGCUAAGGCCGAUGGCGACCGGCGCACGGGUGAGUAACACGUAUCCAACCUGCCGUCUACUCUUGGACAGCCUUCUGAAAGGAAGAUUAAUACAAGAUGGCAUCAUGAGUCCACAUGUUCACAUGAUUAAAGGUAUUCCGGUAGACGAUGGGGAUGCGUUCCAUUAGAUAGUAGGCGGGGUAACGGCCCACCUAGUCUUCGGUGGAUAGGGGUUCUGAGAGGAAGGUCCCCCACAUUGGAACUGAGACACGGUCCAAACUCCUACGGGAGGCAGCAGUGAGGAAUAUUGGUCAAUGGGCGAGAGCCUGAACCAGCCAAGUAGCGUGAAGGAUGACUGCCCUAUGGGUUGUAAACUUCUUUUAUAAAGGAAUAAAGUCGGGUAUGCAUACCCGUUUGCAUGUACUUUAUGAAUAAGGAUCGGCUAACUCCGUGCCAGCAGCCGCGGUAAUACGGAGGAUCCGAGCGUUAUCCGGAUUUAUUGGGUUUAAAGGGAGCGUAGAUGGAUGUUUAAGUCAGUUGUGAAAGUUUGCGGCUCAACCGUAAAAUUGCAGUUGAUACUGGAUAUCUUGAGUGCAGUUGAGGCAGGCGGAAUUCGUGGUGUAGCGGUGAAAUGCUUAGAUAUCACGAAGAACUCCGAUUGCGAAGGCAGCCUGCUAAGCUGCAACUGACAUUGAGGCUCGAAAGUGUGGGUAUCAAACAGGAUUAGAUACCCUGGUAGUCCACACGGUAAACGAUGAAUACUCGCUGUUUGCGAUAUACAGCAAGCGGCCAAGCGAAAGCGUUAAGUAUUCCACCUGGGGAGUACGCCGGCAACGGUGAAACUCAAAGGAAUUGACGGGGGCCCGCACAAGCGGAGGAACAUGUGGUUUAAUUCGAUGAUACGCGAGGAACCUUACCCGGGCUUAAAUUGCAGAUGAAUUACGGUGAAAGCCGUAAGCCGCAAGGCAUCUGUGAAGGUGCUGCAUGGUUGUCGUCAGCUCGUGCCGUGAGGUGUCGGCUUAAGUGCCAUAACGAGCGCAACCCUUGUUGUCAGUUACUAACAGGCCAUGCUGAGGACUCUGACAAGACUGCCAUCGUAAGAUGUGAGGAAGGUGGGGAUGACGUCAAAUCAGCACGGCCCUUACGUCCGGGGCUACACACGUGUUACAAUGGGGGGUACAGAGGGCCGCUACCACGCGAGUGGAUGCCAAUCCCAAAAACCUCUCUCAGUUCGGACUGGAGUCUGCAACCCGACUCCACGAAGCUGGAUUCGCUAGUAAUCGCGCAUCAGCCACGGCGCGGUGAAUACGUUCCCGGGCCUUGUACACACCGCCCGUCAAGCCAUGGGAGCCGGGGGUACCUGAAGUGCGUAACCGCGAGGAGCGCCCUAGGGUAAAACUGGUGACUGGGGCUAA
This 1437-nucleotide ribosomal RNA is filed under the name uncultured organism. Its description in RNAcentral is "16S ribosomal RNA". It matches the Rfam family "Bacterial small subunit ribosomal RNA". The record is from RNAcentral.